Drosophila nasuta is the source of this 914-nucleotide long non-coding RNA. RefSeq lists it as uncharacterized. The record is from RefSeq and is a predicted model, not a curated record. Lineage: Eukaryota; Metazoa; Arthropoda; Insecta; Diptera; Drosophilidae. The transcript is spliced from 3 exons.
UCUCUAAAAUUUGAACGUAAUUUCAUUUGUUCAACACGCGCAGCGACAGCGCGGGGAAUUUCAGGUUGAUUCACCAGCGAUUACUUCGAAUCAGUUUUGGUUGUGGGGAUUGUUAAAGAAGAUACAUUUUUGUGAUUGGGGGAAUUCGCCAAUUAUAUUUGUUAUUUUGCCGACUGGCUAAAUGAUGUGCUCAUGUAAGACCAUUAUGCAUUUGACCAAUUUAAGUUGCUAAUUAUGCGAGAUGCUAUUGCCUUCGAAGAGCCACGUUACAUAUUCCGUUAGGAAAUUGUAAUACUCUCUCUAAUGAAUGAAUGAAGAUCAAAAGCAAAACCUGCCUUCGUUUGUUGCAAAAAUAAAUGUCUCAAAAUGCACGAAAAACCAGUUCAAGCAGCAAUCAACCAAAAUUCAGGAAGCAUUUGAGCGACGUCAUCAACAACUCUGUUGGCUGUCUGUCUGAAAAGCGAAAGGAAACGAACGAAUCAACAUAGCCUCUUUCGCUAUGCCCCCCAACUUCAUAUCGCCCUUCUGUGCUCUAUGGAACUAGCAAUACAACUUGGACGGUGGGGUUCCUAUUUCCAACUAAUUAACCAUAAAGAUUUAUGUUAACAAAUGUCUACGAAUGCCUUUCAAAGUGCCUACUGCCAGGUGUUCCGGCCAGUUUGCGGUUAGCCACAGUUGGUCAAGCUUUAGUUGGCUAUUUAUCUGGUUAAUGGCACAGUUUUGUCUUAAAUUUUUGAUGAUUCGACAAGGUCGUUGGCCAGUAGCUCAAAGAAUAUUUAUAAUACGGCAUGAAAAUCGUAUCAAAUGGCAAAGAGCACGAAUCAAAACAAAACAAAUGAUAAAUAAAAAAUAAAUUCUGAUAAUUAAAGAAAUCAUUUAACCUCGGUAACUUUAUUACGAAAGAAAGAAGCAUG